RNAcentral lists this transfer RNA (73 nucleotides) under Nanobdellota archaeon. RNAcentral's name for it is "tRNA-Ile". It matches the Rfam family "tRNA". Rfam says of the family: Transfer RNA (tRNA) molecules are approximately 80 nucleotides in length. Lineage: Archaea; Nanobdellati; Nanobdellota. The record is from RNAcentral.
UGACCAGUAGCUUAGUGGUUAAAGCAAUCGACCUAUAAUCGAUAGAGCGAUGGUUCAAAUCCAUCUUGGUCAA